AAAGUCUUAAUGCAGGUUUAAGG
This 23-nucleotide microRNA is filed under the name Sarcophilus harrisii (Tasmanian devil). RNAcentral's name for it is "Sha-Mir-7262-P6_5p* (star (passenger))". The record is from RNAcentral. Lineage: Eukaryota; Metazoa; Chordata; Mammalia; Dasyuromorphia; Dasyuridae.